RNAcentral lists this ribosomal RNA (468 nucleotides) under uncultured bacterium. Its description in RNAcentral is "partial 16S ribosomal RNA". It matches the Rfam family "Bacterial small subunit ribosomal RNA", at positions 28 to 507 of the family's 1533-position model. The record is from RNAcentral.
GACGAACGCUGGCGGCGUGCUUAACACAUGCAAGUCGAACGGAAAGGCCCUGCUUUUGUGGGGUGCUCGUGUGGCGAACGGGUGAGUAACACGUGAGUAACCUGCCCUUGACUUUGGGAUAACUUCAGGAAACUGGGGCUAAUACCGGAUAGGAGCUCCUGCUGCAUGGUGGGGGUUGGAAAGUUUCGGCGGUUGGGGAUGGACUCGCGGCUUAUCAGCUUGUUGGUGGGGUAGUGGCUUACCAAGGCUUUGACGGGUAGCCGGCCUGAGAGGGUGACCGGCCACAAUGGGACUGAGAGACGGCCCAGACUCCUACGGGAGGCAGCAGUGGGGAAUAUUGCACAAUGGGCGGAAGCCUGAGGCAGCAACGCCGCGUGCGGGAUGACGGCCUUCGGGUUGUAAACCGCUUUCGCCUGUGACGAAGCGUGAGUGACGGUAAUUGGUAAAGAAGCACCGGCUAACUACGUG